This 644-nucleotide ribosomal RNA is filed under the name uncultured bacterium. Its description in RNAcentral is "bacterial SSU rRNA". It matches the Rfam family "Bacterial small subunit ribosomal RNA", at positions 8 to 694 of the family's 1533-position model. The record is from RNAcentral.
AGAGUUUGAUCCUGGCUCAGGACGAACGCUGGCGGUGUGCUUCACACAUGCAAGUCGAACGAGGUAGCAAUACCUAGUGGCGGACGGGUGAGUAACGCGUGGGAAUCUGCCUUUAGAUGGGGGAUAACGAGCCGAAAGGUUCGCUAAUACCGCAUAUGCCGCAAGGUGAAAGGAGUAAUCCGUCUAAAGAUGAGCCCGCGUCCGAUUAGCUAGUUGGUGGGGUAAAGGCCUACCAAGGCGACGAUCGGUAGCUGGUCUGAGAGGAUGAUCAGCCACAAUGGGACUGAGACACGGCCCAUACUCCUACGGGAGGCAGCAGUGGGGAAUUUUACGCAAUGGGGGAAACCCUGACGUAGCGACACCGCGUGAGCGAAGAAGCCCCUUGGGGUGUAAAGCUCUGUCAGCUGGAACGAAACAAAUGACGGUACCAGCAGAGGAAGCAUCGGCUAACUACGUGCCAGCAGCCGCGGUAAGACGUAGGAUGCGAGCGUUGUCCGGAUUUAUUGGGCGUAAAGAGUUCGUAGGUGGUUUGUUAAGUUUGAUGUUAAAGAUCGGGGCUCAACCUCGGGACAGCAUUGAAUACUGGCAGACUUGAGUAUGGUAGAGGCUAGUGGAAUUCCCAGUGUAGCGGUGAAAUGCGUAGA